CAGACGCAUUUUAGCUAUCGACACGGUGGGAAGUGAGUUUUUUGCUGACGGCUUAACUUUGUAAGACUUAGAAGGAGGCGAUUUUGUCUUUCGCUAAACAUUUUUAACUUAUUCAAGUAUUAAAGUGCGUCAACAAAAUGAGGGACGACCAAAAAGGACUCACGAAACCAGUGGCAGAUUGUGUUUGCCAUGACCGCUGUUGUUUUUUUCAUUGGCAACCUGGUGUACCUAAUUUGGGGCACCACUGAUCAGCAGUCUUGGGAUGCGGAAGACUAUCUGAAGACGAAGGACCCGGAAAACGAACCGAAUGCCCAUCAAAUGGAUUUUAAGCCAAGGCCGGAUUCAGAGGCUAAGGCAGAUAUAAAAGCAAAAUAAUUCGCGAAAGUAAUUUCUGGAACGCAAGGAAGUGCGAAAUGUAAAGCCGAUCUAUCUGGCCAGCAUUGUCUAAAUGCAUAUCGGGCGUAGCGUAUGCCAUUUAAUUAAAAAUUCUUAAAACGUU
This 499-nucleotide small RNA is filed under the name Drosophila yakuba. RNAcentral describes it as "GE19437". The record is from RNAcentral. Lineage: Eukaryota; Metazoa; Arthropoda; Insecta; Diptera; Drosophilidae.